UUGAUCCUGGCUCAGAAUGAACGUUGGCAGCGUGGAUUAGGCAUGCAAGUCGAGCGACAAGUUCCCUUCGGGGGAUGGAGGAGCGGCUAACGGGGUAGUAAGGCAUCGGAACGUACCCUUCUGUCUGGGAUAGCCAUGGGAAACUGUGAGUAAUACCGGAUAAUCUCUUCGGAGCAAAGGUCCGCCGCGGAAGGAGCGGCCGAUGUGAGACUAGGUAGUUGGCGGGGUAAUGGCCCACCAAGCCCGAGAUCUCUAGGGGGUGUGAGAGCAUGGCCCCCACCACUGGGACUGAGAUACUGCCCAGACACCUACGGGUGGCUGCAGUCGAGAAUCUUCGGCAAUGGGCGCAAGCCUGACCGGGCGACGCUGCGUGCGGGAUGAAGGCCCUUGGGUUGUAAACCGCUGUCAGAGGGGAUGAAAGCGUAAGCUUGACAGAGCCUCAGAGGAAGCGCGGGCUAAGUUCGUGCCAGCAGCCGCGGUAAUACGAACUGCGCGAACGUUAUUCGGAAUCACUGGGCUUACAGGGUGCGUAGGCGGCCCACCAGGUCAGAUGUGAAAUCCCACAGCUCAACUGUGGAACUGCAUUUGAAACCGGCGGGCUUGAGUGAACUAGAGGCAUACGGAACUUCCGGUGGAGCGGUGAAAUGUGUUGAGAUCGGAAGGAACACCAGAGGCGAAAGCGGUAUGCUGGAGUUUGUCUGACGCUGAGGCACGAAAGCCAGGGGAGCAAACGGGAUUAGAUACCCCGGUA
RNAcentral lists this ribosomal RNA (751 nucleotides) under uncultured Planctomycetota bacterium. RNAcentral describes it as "bacterial SSU rRNA". It matches the Rfam family "Bacterial small subunit ribosomal RNA", at positions 13 to 792 of the family's 1533-position model. Lineage: Bacteria; Pseudomonadati; Planctomycetota. The record is from RNAcentral.